This 498-nucleotide ribosomal RNA is filed under the name uncultured Acidobacteriaceae bacterium. RNAcentral's name for it is "bacterial SSU rRNA". It matches the Rfam family "Bacterial small subunit ribosomal RNA", at positions 8 to 487 of the family's 1533-position model. The record is from RNAcentral. Lineage: Bacteria; Pseudomonadati; Acidobacteriota; Terriglobia; Terriglobales; Acidobacteriaceae.
AGAGUUUGAUCAUGGCUCAGAAUCAACGCUGGCGGCGUGCCUAACACAUGCAAGUCGAACGCGAAAGUGGAGCAAUCCAUGAGUAGAGUGGCAAACGGGUGAGUAACGCGUGGGCGACCUACCUUCGAGUGGGGGAUAACCUUCCGAAAGGAGGGCUAAUACCGCAUGACAUCCCGUGUUUGGAUACACGGACAUCAAAGCCGGGGAUCGCAAGACCUGGCGCUUGAAGAGGGGCCCGCGUCCGAUUAGCUAGUUGGUGAGGUAACGGCUCACCAAGGCUCCGAUCGGUAUCCGGCCUGAGAGGGCGGACGGACACACUGGAACUGAGACACGGUCCAGACUCCUACGGGAGGCAGCAGUGGGGAAUUGUUCGCAAUGGGCGCAAGCCUGACGACGCAACGCCGCGUGGAGGAUGAAGACUUUCGGAUUGUAAACUCCUGUCGACCGGGACGAAUGCACCCGACCUAAUACGUCGAAGUGUGACGGUACCGGUGAGAG